UACGAAGGGGGCUAGCGUUGCUCGGGAUCACUGGGCGUAAAGCGCACGUAGGCGGCUUCUUAAGUCAGGAGUGAAAUCCUGGGGCUCAACCCCAGAACUGCCCUUGAUACUGAGGAGCUUGAGUCCGGGAGAGGUGAGUGGAACUCCGAGUGUAGAGGUGAAAUUCGUAGCUAUUCGGAAGAACACCAGUGGCGAAGGCGGCUCACUGGCCCGGUACUGACGCUGAGGUGCUAAAGCGUGGGUAGCAAACAAG
This 253-nucleotide ribosomal RNA is filed under the name uncultured bacterium. RNAcentral's name for it is "partial 16S ribosomal RNA". It matches the Rfam family "Bacterial small subunit ribosomal RNA", at positions 524 to 776 of the family's 1533-position model. The record is from RNAcentral.